Molecule: long non-coding RNA, 5073 nt
Organism: Phyllostomus discolor (pale spear-nosed bat)
Lineage: Eukaryota; Metazoa; Chordata; Mammalia; Chiroptera; Phyllostomidae
Exons: 3
Source: RefSeq, a predicted model, not a curated record
GGGGGGAUGGUGCUCAGGAGACAAAGUCCAGCCACACUUUGUCUUUCAGGAGUGGUUGUGGUGCCAGUGUUUUGGCUCCUGGAAGCCUUCUCAUUGGCCUGACAUGGUCUUCAUACACUCUGCUACCUUAGCACCAAGCUUGUGGAGGAUUUUAAGCACAGGAAUUAACUGUGGAUUUCAUAGUACUGAUAUCAGAACCUUACAAGAUGCAUCAUACCCAGUGAUUAAGACUUAAAUUUUAAUAAGGUGGUGUUUUUCUUAAGAUUUUUUUAAAAAUCAUGUUUUCCUGAGAGGUAUAGUCCCCCAGAUAAACAAAUAAGCCCACUCUAACAACCCUCUGGGGUCUACAAAUGAUUAUAUAUUUUUACUAAACAUAAAAGUUGAGUUCUAGCUUUUUCCUGUAAAAGGCAGUAUCACAGGGCAGUAUAGGGAAGAAGUUAAGGCUGGGAAGCUAGACCACCUGGGAUCAUAUUCUAGUUCUGCCACUUGUUAGCCGUGUGACUAUCCUGUCACUGUCCUUUACCUCUCUGUGCCUCAGUUUGCUCACCUGUAAAAUGGAGAAAAUAGUUGUAACUUAUCUUUAGGAUUGAAAGAGUUUAUCUGUACACAGUUCUUUAAAUGUUGCCAGGCACAUAAUAAUAGCAAGCACUGGCAUUGUUCUUUCUGUAGUUAGUACUCACUUCCUUAGGCUUUGUAAUGUCCCGUUCUUGUGAUGUGAGAUGUUAAGUUCACCUACUUUUUCACCAAGAGUGGGGACACAGAAUGAAAGACAGCCGUCAUUCGGGGUAGUGUGUUCAUUUUCUGUUGGAUUUGAGCAAAUGUGUACAUGACAAGAAGAAUACAGUGAGGACAGUGAAAAUCCAGCAGCAUGGCUUUUGUCUCCACAGCCGGAAGAGUGAAAUAAGAGAACCUGAACCUCAUCUGUGUUCCCACUUCCUUCCCGGUAUGUCUUGCUUUCCAUUCUGUAUCUUUGCAGUAGCUCAGGGUAGAGGUAGAAGGGGGACAGUUUCUAAAUCAAACAAUAAAAAUGUGAUAGUUACUAGGAAAAAUUUUAUAGAGAAUCUCAAACAUGCUGAUCCUACUGGAUCAAACCCGCACUAACGAAUGAGGGCUUGAUUUUUCUUUGUAUACAUUUGUCUGAGGGAGUCAAAAAACAACUCUUACAAAUAAAGAUGCUAAUAAGGUAUAAAACACUCAUUUGAAAGGAUAAUAUGCUCCCCUAUGUUCACUGCAGCAUUAUUUAAUGUACAAUAGCCAAGAUUUGGAAGCAGCCCAAGUGCCCAUUAUUAGAUGAGCGAUGAAACAGCAUUGAUACGUUUACACAAUGGAAUACUACUCAGCCAUAAAGAGAGGGAAAUCUUACCCUUUGUGGCAGCAUGGAUGAACCUGGAAGGACAUUGUGAUACAUGCUACCACCUUGAUGGACCUUGAAGACACUAUGCUCAGUGAAAUAAGCCCAUCACAAAAAGACAAAUACUGUGUGAUUCCACUCAUAGGAGGUCCCUAGAGUCUUCAGUGUCAUAGAGACAGGUACAUUAAGAAAACCAAAUGAUGCCAGUGUGGGGAGUCGCCAUUGUGUGCAGGUGCAGGGAGUUGCAUAUCAGGCCAGCUGCUACCUUCUCACACAUUUGAGGACAGCUGAGCAGGCCCACCCGAUGCACAGCCACCUGCAGCUAACAGAUGGGGACCCUGCAUGGUGACCCCACCUGCCAGCAGUGCCAGUGUCGCCCAUGAGAAAAGUGCCAAACAGCACUCAAAAUGGUGGUUUAUUUUCAACAUUUACAUUAAUAAACAUUUUAACCCCAAACAACUGAUUCCAUAUAAUUUUUCUAUCAAAAGAAAAUUGUAGAAUUUACCUUCUAAAGUAAUAACUCCUAGCACUGUGUUGGUGUGUGUCCACUGCAGGACACACAUUAGAAGCAGAUGGCAUUGUUGCUCAAGGCUGUCAAUGUCUUUAACUUCAUCGGAAGGUAGGGCCAAAGGUUUAAAUUUAAGGUCUUAAGGUUACAAUGAAAAAAGUCCCUUCCCAGUGCAUGCACGUAGACACACACACUCACAUUCAUACACAUUCAUUAACAAUCAUUUAUACACACCGACAUUCACACAUUCACAAUUACAUCCAUUUACACACCCAUUUGUUGUGAGGGGCUGGGCUUGAUGCCCAUCAGUGCUGCACCUGGCAUCCCUGUACCUGUUAUUGGUCCCAGGGAAUGUGUCCUCCUCACUCCCCAGAUUUAGCCAAUGUCAAGAUCUUCUGCUUCUGAAACAUUAUUAACAGUUUGCUUGGGUUUCCUUAAACUUCUUCCUGGUGUAGCCGUUCCAGCUCAACCACAGCACACCAGUUGCCCCCCCCAGACUGGCAGGCCACUGUGUCAGAUGAUGAGCAGCAUGACAGUUGCAAAAUAAAAAAAGGAGAAAGGGAAAGAAAGUCAUCAAACCCACGUUUCAUAGGAUCAUUAAGAGCUCCUAAGGAAAUGCUGAGCUCUGUAGAAUCUUCACAUCCCAACCUCUCCUUUAUGGAUAAUUUUCUUUUUUUGCCUGUCACGUGAAAUGCAUCUUAGAUGAGAAGAGAGAAAACAGCCCCAAUCCUGCCACUGGCUGAUGGGAGGGGAUGCAGUCUGGUUCCCUCCUUGGGGAUGUGCCCAUGAGUGUUGAGGCAGCCCUAUCAGACUCCCUGUCUAUCUCCUUUCAUGCGAAUUUACUAGAACAGGUCAGUGUUGUAGACUCAGAUGUAGGACCACGUUUCCAACACAGCACAAGGCAUGAGCAGCAUCACUGUAGCAAAGGCAGGCUGACACAUUAGUGACAGUAGCAAGAAAGACAGGAUACUUGCUGACAUUUACCAUGUGUCCAGUGUCAUGGUAUGGACUAUCCAUGAAUUGACUUCAUUUAAACCUCAAACAGCCUAGGUUGUAAUUAGUUAUUACCCCACUGGACAGAUGCAGAAAUUGAGGGUUAAAUAUCUUUCUCUAGAAAGGUCAAAAGUGGAGAGCAGAGCCUGACCUUUUCCCCUGGGGAAAGUAAUAAAUGCACAUGUUUAACAUACAAAAUAGUGCAGAGGGCUGAUUAGACAGGGAGAGAGAUGGGGAAAAGGAGAGAGAUGGAUGAUGGGAAAAAGGGAUGAAGGAGGGGAGGCAAGGAGAAGGGAGCUAGAAGAGAGGAGGUGAGGAGCCCACUCGCCCACCUCCCCACCUCCAGUCCUGCUUCUCAGAGGAACCCCUUCUGUUGGCUCUGAGGUUAUAUCUCCAGGGGUCACCUCCAUACCUUUUGAUUAACCUAACACACUUUGACCAGCUUCAGUGCUUUUCCUGCUGACAGGUAGGGAGGUGGAUCGCCCCAGCUCCCAGUACAGUCACAUCAGAGUCUGGCAUAUUUGCAGGUGUAUCUGCAACAACCAUCGAUUUGUAGCACUUUCCCCUAAUGAGGGAGGUUCCCUUGAUGCCCCACUGUGCAUGUGAAGGUGGCCACAGAGUCAGCCUUCUCUCCCCAACCUCUCUACUGCCGAUGACAGACAAUUCACCUUGUUAAGGUUGACAGUCCUUAUAGUCUCUGGUGUUUUGCAUAUAGAGUUCAGAAAGUUGAAAACCAAUUAACCUGAAUUAGCAUAGCUAAUCACUGUAACAGACACUUCUCAAAAUGAAGAGUGGCGCAAACACAAUCAUUUGUUUCCUGUGUACCUGCUUGUGAAGGUAAGCAGGUUUGUGAGCAGCCACACGGGACCCCAGAUACAAGGUUCUGCCUCCCUGGCCCUGUGAGUUCCACAGCCAUCCUCAGUCAUCCCAUCUGAGCCACUGCCUGGAGGACCCCUGCAAGGUCCCCUGACAUGGGUUGUGGCACCUGGUCACAUGACCUCCCAGGUGGGAAGUCCCCUGGCUGGCCAACCUCCUGAAGCUCAUGACAUCUACACCCCUGUAUCAAGGGACCGAGUGCCUGACCUGCCUCUGGGUUGGACUUUUUCUACUCACAGGAGAGGUCCUAGUGCCAAACUCAGGAGUGUUUCUUUCUUACACUUUACCAAGUAUUCAAACCAACCCUUGUUUUCCCCGAACCAGAUUGGGCCAUGCAUUUAUUAUGGAGUGUUUCCUUAGGGUUUCUAAUUGCCUUUCCCUGUUGUGAGAGCAGAAAUUCCAAGUCUCGUCACAUGCUCAGACCAUUCUCAGACCCACUCUGUUUCCUCCGUGGUAGGUGUGCUCUCACGCUGCCUCUGAUUAGACUAGCAGCCCCAUAGCUGGACCAUAACUGCUUGUCUCGCUUUGGAGUGGCUAGUGAUCUUUUUCCUUCAUUCUCCACCUUCUGUGGUCCCCAUUUCCCACCCUCUUAGAUUUCAUUACCAAGUCUGUGGGCACAACCCCCCAGGAACAUCUCUCCUAGGCCCAUGAGUAGUGUGCCUCUGUGUAACUGGCUGCACACCAGCCACCCAGAUGUGCCCUGGCUCCAUGGCAUCGGACUUUUGGCACCUUGGACCCUGAUGUUUCAUCCUUUGCACAAAGCAACAUGAAGCCAGUGUGAUUGUAAGUGCCUCUCACAGGUAGCCCAGAAGGCGACAACCAGAGACUAAAUCCUAUAGUGUCUAUCGUGUCCCUGUACUGUGAGAACACUUCUAGCAACUGUCCCUACGCUUCAGGGCUACUCAACAACAGAAGGCCACUUAGAGCUGUAUGUGGGUGAACACCUAAAAUGAUCUGAGUAUCUUUAAAAAGAUAUUCAGACACCUGUGUGUGUUUCACAGUCUACAUGCAGACACUCUCAGGGGAGAAUAACCAUAUUCUACCCUACUUACUGCAUCUCACUUUCAAAGCUUUGGGCCUGAUUUAAUGUCUGCAGUGUCUCAGAUAUUUUGACAAGUGUUUCCCUAUCACUUGUCUCAUUUGCACCAAAGUACUAUAGGCCUCUUCGGGGGGAGUUGAACAGUUGACUCAACAGACUUCUGGAGUUCUUACAUGUGCCUGGCACUGUCCUGGGUGCUGGAGAAUUGGUGAAGCUGCUCUCUAUCCAGACUGCAUAGUGAAUGCACGUGAGGAAAGUGCACAGAACUAAAUACUCAUGCACAAAUGGGCAACAAGAGAACCAGGA